CACGUAGGGCGCAAGCGUUGUCCGGAAUUAUUGGGCGUAAAGAGCUCGUAGGCGGUCUGUUGCGUCUGCUGUGAAAACCCGGGGCUUAACCCCUGGCUUGCAGUGGAUACGGACAGACUAGAGGUAGGUAGGGGAGAAUGGAAUUCCCGGUGUAGCGGUGAAAUGCGCAGAUAUCGGGAGGAACACCGGUGGCGAAGGCGGUUCUCUGGGCCUUACCUGACGCUGAGGAGCGAAGGCCAGGGGAGCAAACGGG
RNAcentral lists this ribosomal RNA (253 nucleotides) under uncultured bacterium. RNAcentral describes it as "partial 16S ribosomal RNA". It matches the Rfam family "Bacterial small subunit ribosomal RNA", at positions 524 to 776 of the family's 1533-position model. The record is from RNAcentral.